This 52-nucleotide transfer RNA is filed under the name Callosciurus caniceps concolor. RNAcentral's name for it is "partial tRNA-Ala". Lineage: Eukaryota; Metazoa; Chordata; Mammalia; Rodentia; Sciuridae. The record is from RNAcentral.
AAAAUGGUUGAUUUGCGUUCAGUUGAUGUAAGAUGAGAUCUUGCAGCCCUUA